AGUGAACGCUGGCGGUAGGCCUAACACAUGCAAGUCGAACGGCAGCACAGUAAGAGCUUGCCCUUACGGGUGGCGAGUGGCGGACGGGUGAGGAAUACAUCGGAAUCUACUUUUUCGUGGGGGAUAACGUAGGGAAACAUACGCUAAUACCGCAUACGACCUACGGGUGAAAGCAGGGGAUCUUCGGACCUUGCGCGAUUGUAUGAGCCGAUGUCGGAUUAGCUAGUUGGCGGGGUAAAGGCCCACCAAGGCGACGAUCCGUAGCUGGUCUGAGAGGAUGAUCAGCCACACUGGAACUGAGACACGGUCCAGACUCCUACGGGAGGCAGCAGUGGGGAAUAUUGGACAAUGGGCGCAAGCCUGAUCCAGCCAUACCGCGUGGGUGAAGAAGGCCUUCGGGUUGUAAAGCCCUUUUGUUGGGAAAGAAAAGCAGCAGGUUAAUACCCCGCUGUUCUGACGGUACCCAAAGAAUAAGCACCGGCUAACUUCGUG
This 492-nucleotide ribosomal RNA is filed under the name uncultured bacterium. Its description in RNAcentral is "partial 16S ribosomal RNA". It matches the Rfam family "Bacterial small subunit ribosomal RNA", at positions 29 to 507 of the family's 1533-position model. The record is from RNAcentral.